CGGGGCGUGGCGCAGUUUGGCAGCGCGCUUGGUUCGGGACCAAGAGGCCGCGGGUUCAAAUCCCGCCGCUCCGACCA
Molecule: transfer RNA, 77 nt
Filed under: Bacillota bacterium
Lineage: Bacteria; Bacillati; Bacillota
Description: Firmicutes bacterium (anaerobic digester metagenome) tRNA-Pro
Rfam family: tRNA
About the family: Transfer RNA (tRNA) molecules are approximately 80 nucleotides in length.
Source: RNAcentral